This 378-nucleotide small RNA is filed under the name Arabidopsis thaliana (thale cress). Its description in RNAcentral is "ATSL055540". Lineage: Eukaryota; Viridiplantae; Streptophyta; Magnoliopsida; Brassicales; Brassicaceae. The record is from RNAcentral.
AUAUAGAGUUUAAAAAAAUAUAAAAAACAAUUCCGUCAUAUUUUGUGAUUCGAAAUUUUAAAAAUGAACAUAUAUUAACCAAUUGACGAAAAAUGUGUGGGUUCAACAUCUCGCAUAGACUAAAAUAUUUAGACAAUGAUUCAUAAACAUAUCAUAAAUAAGAUUAACAUUAAUAAAAUAAAUGGUUUUUUUGGCAGGACGGGUUUUGCGGAACGGGUUUAGCAGAACGUUACUUAAUAACAGUUGUAAACUAUAAAAUAAAAAUAUUUUAUAAAUAAAUACAAUUUGUAAAUUUUUAUAUAUACUAACUUUAAAAAAUAAAUUAUACUCGCGGUACAAUACCGCGGGUUAAAAUCUAGUAAACAGUACUUUUGCACA